RNAcentral lists this ribosomal RNA (497 nucleotides) under uncultured bacterium. RNAcentral describes it as "partial 16S ribosomal RNA". It matches the Rfam family "Bacterial small subunit ribosomal RNA", at positions 28 to 507 of the family's 1533-position model. The record is from RNAcentral.
GAUGAACGCUGGCGGCGUGCCUAAUACAUGCAAGUCGAGUGAACGGACGAGAAGCUUGCUCCUCUGAUGUUAGCGGCGGACGGGUGAGUAACACGUGGAUAACCUACCUAUAAGACUUGGGUAACUUCGGGAAACCGGUGCUAAUACCGGAUCAUAUUUUGAACCGCAUGGUUCAAAAGUGCAAGACGGUCUUGCUGUCUGUAUUAGAUGGAUCCGCGCUGCAUUAGCUAGUUGGUAAGGUAACGGCUUACCAAGGCGACGAUGCGUAGCCGACCUGAGAGGAUGAUCGGCCACACUGGAACUGAGACACGGUCCAGACUCCUACGGGAGGCAGCAGUGGGGAAUCUUGGACAAAGGGCGAAAGCCUGAUGGAGCAAUGCCGCGUGGGUGAAGAAGGCCUUCGGGUCGUAAAGCUCUGUUGUUAGGGAAGAACAGAAGUAGAUGAAUACGCGGAUGUUCUGACGGUACCCAAACAAUAAGCACCGGCUAACUACGUG